RNAcentral lists this ribosomal RNA (749 nucleotides) under Xanthomelon arnhemense. Its description in RNAcentral is "partial 16S ribosomal RNA". It matches the Rfam family "Bacterial large subunit ribosomal RNA", at positions 714 to 2557 of the family's 2925-position model. Lineage: Eukaryota; Metazoa; Mollusca; Gastropoda; Stylommatophora; Camaenidae. The record is from RNAcentral.
CACGAAUUAAGACGAGCUAAUUAAUUGUAAAUGUUAGUUUCCGGGAUGUAGCAAAAUUACGUCAAACUGUUAAUUAGGGGCGAUAGGCUUAUCAAGUCUUAUUAUAACUUGUUGUUUACGAAAUGUAUUUAGUACGUGUCCAACUAAAGAGUGCAAAGAUUCUUUAGAGUUAUUAAAGUUAAAAUGACGUGUGUGUCUAGUUAUAACUAACAGACAGUAUAUAAAUAGAAUAUCAUUCUUGUAAAGUUAUUAAUUUUAGUAAACUGUAUGAAAAUAUGGUGCAAUAUUAAUAAUGUUAUUAUAAGUAACUAAAAUAAAUAUUUUUUAUGAACUCGGCAACAUUUUCUCCAACUGUUUAUCAAAAACAUAGCUAGUAGUAGUCAAUUAUUAGUGUUUUCUGCUCAAUGAGUAUUAAAUGGCCGCAGUACCCUGACUGUGCUAAGGUAGCAUAAUCAAUUGGCUUGUAAUUUAAGUCUUGUAUGAAUGAAAACAUGAGGGAAACACUGUAUUAAAAGUAUGUUAUUAAAUUACUUUGUAAGUGAAAAUACUUACAGAAAACUAUUAGACGAGAAGACCCUAGAAAUUUUUAGUACUUUGUAGUGGUGGUUUUUGUUGGGGCAACAUUGUAACACACAAACUUACAAUCAAUUACAAGAAACUUAUUGUUAGAUUAAAUUACUCUAGGGAUAACAGCGUAAUGUAUUAACGUUUGCGACCUCGAUGUUGGAUUAGGAAAUAUACGCUUAGAA